RNAcentral lists this ribosomal RNA (253 nucleotides) under uncultured bacterium. RNAcentral describes it as "partial 16S ribosomal RNA". It matches the Rfam family "Bacterial small subunit ribosomal RNA", at positions 524 to 776 of the family's 1533-position model. The record is from RNAcentral.
UACGUAGGGUGCGAGCGUUGCCCGGAUUUAUUGGGCGUAAAGGGCGCGUAGGCGGCCACGCACGUCCGUUGUGAAAUCGCCCGGCUCAACUGGGCGGGGUCAGCGGAUACGGUGUGGCUAGAGCAAGCUAGGGGGCAAUGAAAUUCCCGGUGUAGUGGUGGAAUGCGUAGAUAUCGGGAGGAACACCAGUGGCGAAGGCGGUUGCCUGGAGCUUUGCUGACGCUGAUGCGCGAAAGCGUGGGGAGCGAUCCGG